Molecule: ribosomal RNA, 1372 nt
Filed under: uncultured bacterium
Lineage: Bacteria
Description: bacterial SSU rRNA
Rfam family: Bacterial small subunit ribosomal RNA
Source: RNAcentral
GAUGAACGCUGGCGGCGUGCCUAAUACACGCAAGUCGAGCGAACAGACGAGGAGCUUGCUCCUUUGACGUUAGCGGCGGACGGGUGAGUAACACGUGGGUAACCUACCUAUAAGACUGGGAUAACUUCGGGAAACCGGAGCUAAUACCGGAUAAUAUUUCGAACCGCAUGGUUCGAUAGUGAAAGAUGGCUUUGCUAUCACUUAUAGAUGGACCUGCGCCGUAUUAGCUAGUUGGUAAGGUAACGGCUUACCAAGGCAACGAUACGUAGCCGACCUGAGAGGGUGAUCGGCCACACUGGAACUGAGACACGGUCCAGACUCCUACGGGAGGCAGCAGUAGGGAAUCUUCCGCAAUGGGCGAAAGCCUGACGGAGCAACGCCGCGUGAGUGAUGAAGGUCUUCGGAUCGUAAAACUCUGUUAUUAGGGAAGAAUAAACGUGUAAGUAACUGUGCACGUCUUGACGGUACCUAAUCAGAAAGCCACGGCUAACUACGUGCCAGCAGCCGCGGUAAUACGUAGGUGGCAAGCGUUAUCCGGAAUUAUUGGGCGUAAAGCGCGCGUAGGCGGUUUUUUAAGUCUGAUGUGAAAGCCCACGGCUCAACCGUGGAGGGUCAUUGGAAACUGGAAAACUUGAGUGCAGAAGAGGAAAGUGGAAUUCCAUGUGUAGCGGUGAAAUGCGCAGAGAUAUGGAGGAACACCAGUGGCGAAGGCGACUUUCUGGUCUGUAACUGACGCUGAUGUGCGAAAGCGUGGGGAUCAAACAGGAUUAGAUACCCUGGUAGUCCACGCCGUAAACGAUGAGUGCUAAGUGUUAGGGGGUUUCCGCCCCUUAGUGCUGCAGCUAACGCAUUAAGCACUCCGCCUGGGGAGUACGACCGCAAGGUUGAAACUCAAAGGAAUUGACGGGGACCCGCACAAGCGGUGGAGCAUGUGGUUUAAUUCGAAGCAACGCGAAGAACCUUACCAAAUCUUGACAUCCUUUGACCCUUCUAGAGAUAGAAGUUUCCCCUUCGGGGGACAAAGUGACAGGUGGUGCAUGGUUGUCGUCAGCUCGUGUCAUGAGAUGUUGGGUUAAGUCCCGCAACGAGCGCAACCCUUAAGCUUAGUUGCCAUCAUUAAGUUGGGCACUCUAAGUUGACUGCCGGUGACAAACCGGAGGAAGGUGGGGAUGACGUCAAAUCAUCAUGCCCCUUAUGAUUUGGGCUACACACGUGCUACAAUGGACAAUACAAAGGGCAGCGAAACCGCGAGGUCAAGCAAAUCCCAUAAAGUUGUUCUCAGUUCGGAUUGUAGUCUGCAACUCGACUACAUGAAGCUGGAAUCGCUAGUAAUCGUAGAUCAGCAUGCUACGGUGAAUACGUUCCCGGGUCU